This 469-nucleotide ribosomal RNA is filed under the name uncultured Anoxybacillus sp. Its description in RNAcentral is "bacterial SSU rRNA". It matches the Rfam family "Bacterial small subunit ribosomal RNA", at positions 913 to 1382 of the family's 1533-position model. Lineage: Bacteria; Bacillati; Bacillota; Bacilli; Caryophanales; Anoxybacillaceae. The record is from RNAcentral.
ACGGGGGCCGCACAAGCGGUGGAGCAUGUGGUUUAAUUCGAAGCAACGCGAAGAACCUUACCAGGUCUUGACAUCCCCUGACAACCCGAGAGAUCGGGCGUUCCCCUUCGGGGGACAGGGUGACAGGUGGUGCAUGGUUGUCGUCAGCUCGUGUCGUGAGAUGUUGGGUUAAGUCCCGCAACGAGCGCAACCCUCGACCUUAGUUGCCAGCAUUCAGUUGGGCACUCUAAGGUGACUGCCGGCUAAAAGUCGGAGGAAGGUGGGGAUGACGUCAAGUCCUCAUGGCCCUUAUAGGUGGGGCUACACACGUCAUACAAUGGCCGGUACAGAGGGUAGCCAACCCGCGAGGGGGAGCCAAUCCCACAAAGCCGGUCGUAGUCCGGAUCGCAGUCUGCAACUCGACUGCGUGAAGUCGGAAUCGCUAGUAAUCGCGGAUCAGCAUGUCGCGGUGAAUACGUUCCCGGGUCUU